Anser brachyrhynchus (Pink-footed goose) is the source of this 3264-nucleotide long non-coding RNA. The record is from Ensembl. Lineage: Eukaryota; Metazoa; Chordata; Aves; Anseriformes; Anatidae.
CAGUUGUGUAAAAUCUAUUCUGUGACAUGAUCCCAGGUCCUUUUUGGAGGGGUAAAGGAGCUGCUAAAUGUAGCAGAGAGUGCUCUUUGACAUCAGCAACUGUUAAUACAUAACCAGAGUUACCAGGGAGGGGGCAGCUUAGAAAGAAAAGGAACAAUGAACAGGAAGAAAAAUUAUAAUAAUUUUUGCACUGUACAGAAAAUACUCUUUCCUUCUAGGACAUGUUGUGCCCGGAGUUCUCCCUGUUCCAGGCUGCCUGCUUUACAGCUCUUUGUCUGCUUUCUGUGAUCAUAAAUCUUGUAAAUCUCAUUGCUUCCAUGCCUCUACACAUCCUUCUCAGAAACAUUUUCUGCAGAUUUUGCAUCUGUGAUCCUGGAAAAUAAAUCCCUACGGAGGCUGUUAAUGCAAAUUGGCUGUGUUUAAGUGAGUGGCUGAUGCCCGUCAGCUGUGGUGAGAGGUGGCUGUAGCGUAUCUGCUCCAGCUGUAAUUAGGGGCUGAACCAUGAAGAAGUAGUACGUGGUGUGGUUGAGCUGUUCCAGGCUUGGGGGUGGUUGUGGGAAGCUGCUGAAGCCCUGGAGGUCCAGGAGGGCUGAUAGGUGACAGGAGCUGUGAAAUAGGAGCGUGAGCAUGCUGCAGCUGUUACAAGACACAGCAGAGCAAGAUUAAUUUUUUCUCUUGGCAAACAAAGAAAGAGAGGGCACAUGGAAGUCAUACAGCCACAAGCAAGAGCAAGGCUGGGUGCAGAGAUGAGCUCCAUGAACCGAAGGGAGAUGAGUGCAGGAGGAGCCCGGUGAGCCUGCCCCAGGAUCGUGGAGCAUCCAACAGCACCAGAGCCAGGGUCGUGGAGCAUCCAACAUCACCAGAGCCAUGCUCCCAGGCAGACAAACGGGCUCUGCCUGCUUCCCGUGGCUGUGCUUGCUGCUUCUCAGUGGCCCCGCUCUGCAGCCAGGUAUUGCUGCGUCCAGAGAUUCCCCUGCUGAGGGGACAAAUGGCCCUUCCUCUAACAAAACAAAUGUGACAGUUUAUCGCUGUAAAGAUUGUGACAGCAAAAUUUGCCAAUCAUCCAAUUACGAGAGGUUUGAAAUAAUCGGAGAAACACAAAAUGGGACAUUAUCUAAUGACAUUAUUCAGUUGGUGACCAGUGAAACUCACAUCAUUAUGUGCUUUCAGCAAGAAAUUAAGUAUCUUAACGAAGUUUAUGCCGUCAUCUUGGAGAACAACUCGGGAAUAGGAGAAUCCUGUGGCAAGCUGGAGCUUGGAGAAAAUGGGGCGCAUCACAUCACAGAGGAGGAAAAAAUCUGCUGUGCAGUAGAGACAAAUGAAACCAAAGCAUACGUCAGGAACCUGAACUGCUACAUUGAAAGCAAGAAAACAAGCUCAAUAUACAGGCCCCCUGAUGAUAUAACUCUAGAUAAUCCAACAGAUCCAGGCAACAGUAAGAGAAUUGGCAUCACUGCCGCUUUCCUGAUUCUUGGGGUUUGUGCAGCAGCAGCACUGGUGCUGUAUUGUGUUCAAAGAACCCGAAAUGGUCAAGGACCUGUCAUAGUGCUCUAUCAGAUUCUUAAAGGUGUUAUAAAACCCAAUCAGGCUUACGAAAGCAGAAGGUCACAGCCAUUUGAAGCAUCAUCUAUAAAUGAGACAAACCAGGCCUUCAUGACAGCAGCAUCCUUCUCAAACAAAGUCUAGCCAUCACCUGAAGAAACACAUUUCUUUUAUACAAGACCUCACAGUAGUUUUUACAAAUGUACUUUCACCACUCCCAUGCAUUCACCAAGGACUGCAAUUGCCCUAGUUAUCCAACUCCAGGUUUUUGCAAGCAAUAUGAGAAGCUUCCUGGGGCUACUGUCCUCUCCUGGUACUUGGUUGAGGAGCCCCAGCAUCACAAGAUGCAUGGCUUGUUCGGCAGCACAGGCUUAAACCAGCUGAAUCCUUCCAAUGCUUUUUAUGGUUGAAGCUACCAGUUCUCCUAAAAUCCUUUGGAGAACUGCAUCUGUGCUCAGGCAGGCCGUCUUGAACCCUGAUGGAGAUGUUCUCUGCAUAUCUUCCAUGUCAUAACACAGUAGCGUGGCCAUAGUUUUUCAUCCGUUAACUCCCAGGUGGGUUCUAGAUUUCCUCAAGGAGGAGUUUUGUAGAACCAUGGAACAGCUUGGGUUGGAAGGGACCUUAAAGACCACCCGCUAGCUCAGGCUCUCCAGAGCCUCAUCCAGCCUGUACAGGUGACCGGCUUGUUUCAUUAGAGCGGUUUGGCCUUCUGAGCCAAAAGUCUGGUUUUGCAGCCACCUGCAGGCUGAAGGCUACUCUGCGGGCUCUGUCCUGUGCAGCAGAGACAGGAGGGCCUGCACUUCAGGGAUCCCCAAAGGGUAGUUCUCAGGCAGCAUGUCAUCUUCAAAUGAUUUACUACUCAUGCUUGAUUUGAGUAAAUCCUCAAAAUUUGCAUUAUACCCAAACCAGUAUCAGGCUUUUGAGCAAAAAGCAGCAGCAUCCAAAUUGCAAAAGCACAUCCCCGAAGCGGGAUGGAUGCUUGUUGAAUCAUUUUUUGCAUGGUUUAACCAACCAUAAACCUGUAAGGUGGCACUAUCGGCAGGAAAUCUCAGAGGAUAUAGGAUGUUGUGUGACUCUGUAUACAUAAAAAAUACCAAAAAAAAGUAUACAAAAGCAUACAAAAAAGUUAUGGACCUUUUUUUUUUUUCUUAACCUCAAAACUUUGGAAGGUCCUUCAAAUACAAGUAGGGAAUUUCUGUGUUGUUUUGCAACAGUAUGAUUAGUUCAACGUGCAUUUUUCCAGUGCAGCUAUCAUGGGUGUUACUUUUGGCUCUGUUUCUCUGCUGUAAGUCAUUGCUGCGAGAGCCUCUGUGGAAGUGCCAAGCAUUCCCAUUGAUGCAUUGAGCUGUGUGCUGGGCUUCAGGAGAUUCCAGUGAUGCGUACCUGAUUUUCCUAGACCUAGAAAAACACUGUCUUAAAAUUAAAGGCUAUCGCAGUUCUCUGAUGUGGUCUUUUAAUGGGGAAAAACAAAUGUGUGUAUACAUAUUCGUGUGUGCGUGUAGGGUGGUCAAAUUGAUGACUGACACUGUUCUUUUUUUGUGUACCCUCAGAUUUUGAGUUUUUUGAAAAAGAAACAACAUGCUAUUUGACAACUUAUGUUGUGGUAAUUUGGGGGAUUCAAGUUUAAUAGCGUGCAAGUUUAAUUUCUAAUCUUUAACACCAGUUGGGGCCAGAGAGCUAGUCAAGUCUUGAGAAUAAAGGUUACCUGCCCGGUUCCGCGCA